GUCGCAUUUAGUUGGAGCUGCAGGAGAGAGACAGAGAGAUUCUCUGUGUUUACAGCCAGCGCAGGCUACGGCGAACAUCUAACCUGGCCCCCCUUCCUCCCGCACUUGGAGGGGAGAGUGCGAGGCUGUUUGGGAAUCUGGCCACCGCGGGUCAGCCCUGCCUGUGACUGGAUUGCCAGGGCUGGUAGAGCAGAGCCCAGGGGGACCGAAGGGAAACACACAUCCCGUUUUAUUUGAGAGGGGAAGAGGAGGAAAAAAAAAAUAAUAAGAAAAAGAAACUGAGAGAGGAGGGAAGAGACGGAGAAAAAGGCAGAGGAAGCGGAGCGAGUGAGAGAGGAGAAGCAUGAGGACCUACUGGCUGCACAGUAUCUGGGUGCUGGGAUUCUUCCUGUUCCUCUUCUUUCAAGGGCUUCCUCCCUCUCUUGUUUGGUUGUGUCCUAUGAAAAAGCAGGCACUGUGUUGCAGUGGAGUAGAACACGGUCCUAGAGUGAGCAGGUUAGACAUAUUUUUCUGUGGAGAGAGAUCACUUUUUCUGCUGGGCUUCAUUUUGCAGC
RNAcentral lists this long non-coding RNA (554 nucleotides) under Gallus gallus (chicken). The record is from RNAcentral. Lineage: Eukaryota; Metazoa; Chordata; Aves; Galliformes; Phasianidae.